AUUGAACGCUGGCGGCAGGCCUAACACAUGCAAGUCGAACGCGUGGCGGACGGGUGAGUAAUGUCUGGGAAACUGCCCGAUGGAGGGGGGGAAAUACUGGAGACGGUAGCUAAUACCGCAUACCAUCUGAGGUGCCCAGAUGGGAUUGGCUAGGAGGUGGGGUAACGGCUCACCAGGACGACGCUCCCUCUCUGUGCUGAGAGGAUGACCAGCCACACUGGAACUGAGAACCGGUCCAGACUCCUACGGGAGGCAGCAGUGGGGAAAAUUGCACAAUGGGCGCAAGCCUGAUGCAGCCAUGCGGCGUGUAUGAAGAAGGCCUUCGGGUUGUAAAGUACUUUCAGCGAGGAGGCGGUACUCGCAGAAGAAGCCCCGGCUAACUCCGUGCCAGCAGCCGCGGUAAUUC
RNAcentral lists this ribosomal RNA (406 nucleotides) under uncultured bacterium. RNAcentral's name for it is "partial 16S ribosomal RNA". It matches the Rfam family "Bacterial small subunit ribosomal RNA", at positions 29 to 526 of the family's 1533-position model. The record is from RNAcentral.